RNAcentral lists this ribosomal RNA (253 nucleotides) under uncultured bacterium. RNAcentral describes it as "partial 16S ribosomal RNA". It matches the Rfam family "Bacterial small subunit ribosomal RNA", at positions 524 to 776 of the family's 1533-position model. The record is from RNAcentral.
UACAGAGGUCUCAAGCGUUGUUCGGAUUCAUUGGGCGUAAAGGGUGCGUAGGUGGCGCCGUCAGUCAGGGGUGAAAUUUCGGAGCUCAACUCCGAAACUGCAUUUGAUACUGCGGUGCUAGAGGACUGGAGAGGAGACUGGAAUUCACGGUGUAGCAGUGAAAUGCGUAGAUAUCGUGAGGAAGACCAGUGGCGAAGGCGGGUCUCUGGACAGUUCCUGACACUGAGGCACGAAGGCCAGGGGAGCAAACGGG